Molecule: ribosomal RNA, 649 nt
Filed under: Anopheles subpictus
Lineage: Eukaryota; Metazoa; Arthropoda; Insecta; Diptera; Culicidae
Description: eukaryotic LSU rRNA
Rfam family: 5.8S ribosomal RNA (bases 1-143)
Source: RNAcentral
AUCACUCGGCUCGUGGAUCGAUGAAGACCGCAGCUAAAUGCGCGUCAGAAUGUGAACUGCAGGACACAUGAACACCGAUAAGUUGAACGCAUAUGGCGCAUCGGACGUUUCAACCCGACCGAUGCACACAUCCUUGAGUGCCUACUAGGUACUUCGAUUUUCCUAUAAUUAGACUACAGACGGGCGCCACUAAUGGGCUGACGGGUUAUCCGUCGUCUGGCGUGCGACUGUGCAGCAUGGCGUGCUCGGGUCUCGGCGUGGACCCUUGGGCGCUGAAAGUGGAUACUCUGUUUGAGCGGCACCUUUGCGUGUGCUCUCCUAAGUGUCGACGUAUGGUGAGGGUAGUGUCAAGCCGCACGGUGCGACAACACAAGCGUACUGUCGAGUUUGGUGCAAUCGGAUGCCUACUACCAUGGGCGGUGCCGGCGUGCAUUCAACACUCGACGUGUGCGUCCUGUAUCAACCGGAUGCCAACUGCUGUCAGUUGGUGGUGUCGGCGCAGACAGGACGCGCGCGUACGCUUGAGUCGUGUAACGCGUGCGACCCAUACACGUACCUGCUUGAGCUAUGCGUUGCGAGUUGGAGAGUUGCCAGACGGAGGAAAUACCACAACUACUCCAGUAGGCCUCAAGUGAUGUGUGACUACCCC